This 571-nucleotide ribosomal RNA is filed under the name Trifolium trichocephalum. RNAcentral describes it as "eukaryotic LSU rRNA". The stretch from base 117 to 272 matches the Rfam family "5.8S ribosomal RNA". The record is from RNAcentral. Lineage: Eukaryota; Viridiplantae; Streptophyta; Magnoliopsida; Fabales; Fabaceae.
AACACAAACCCCGACGCUGAAUGCGUCAAGGAAUUUAAAAUUUGCUCUGAGCGCACCUGCAUGGCACCGGAGAUGGUUUUCGUGCGGGUUGUGUUCUGACACAUAAUAUAUAGAAUGACUCUCGGCAACGGAUAUCUAGGCUCUUGCAUCGAUGAAGAACGUAGCGAAAUGCGAUACUUGGUGUGAAUUGCAGAAUCCCGUGAACCAUCGAGUCUUUGAACGCAAGUUGCGCCCGAUGCCAUUAGGUUGAGGGCACGUCUGCCUGGGCGUCACAUAUCGAAGCCUCUUGCCAAUUUCCUAAUGAUAGGUAUUGUGCAGGGUGAAUGUUGGCCUCCCGUGAGCUCCAUCGUCUCAUGGUUGGUUGAAAAUCGAGACCUUGGUAGUUUGUGCCAUGAUAGAUGGUGGUUGUGUUACGCACGAGCCCAAAUAAUCAUGUGCUGCUCUAUCGAAUUUUGCCUCUUUUACCCAUAUGUGUUUCUAAACGCUCGUGAUGAGACCUCAGGUCAGGCGGGGCUACCCGCUGAAUUUAAGCAUAUCAAUAAGCGGAGGAAAAGAAACUAACAAGGAUUCC